CUUCAGAUUCCGCCAUAUAAUGGGACUUCCACACGAGAGGAGUCAGUACCCGUUAAUGGUCAUUCUUGUUAAUCUCCUGUUCAGUGGGAAAUCUUGUGGAGAGCUGGAUGGUGAUGUGACAUGGCUGGGUUAUUAACACUAUCAGAAGACUCGCUGCAGAUCGAAGCAAUGCAAAGACUUAAGUGCAUAAGAUCCAAACCAAAUGAACUACAUGUAAAUGGACGAAAAGUACUUGCCUUCACCAAGGAUUUCUGCAAAUUAUGUAAUUAAUGAUGAUGUUACCCAUCGGAUCCAGUGUCAUGAUAAUUGUUGGAGAAAAUUAAUACGUAAUGACAAUGUCUAAGUGGCUACACGUUAUAUCUUUAUAAAACAUCUGACGUAUUUCUUAUCAUUUUCCAAUCUUAUUAAAAACAGAUCUUUGAUCCGCCCCAAUAUUCUCAUGUCGCUAAUACAAAGUAUUUUGUACUAGCUACAUCCGAAUAUCGAAACAGAU
Ostrea edulis (European flat oyster) is the source of this 493-nucleotide long non-coding RNA. RefSeq lists it as uncharacterized. The transcript is spliced from 3 exons. The record is from RefSeq and is a predicted model, not a curated record. NCBI's taxonomy places the organism in Eukaryota, Metazoa, Mollusca, Bivalvia, Ostreida, Ostreidae.